GGUUGAAGCUCAGAGGUAGAGCACUUGCCUUUCAUGUGUGAGGCCCUGGGUUCAAUCCCCAGCACCA
This 67-nucleotide transfer RNA is filed under the name Marmota monax (woodchuck). RNAcentral describes it as "tRNA.Glu". It matches the Rfam family "tRNA". Rfam says of the family: Transfer RNA (tRNA) molecules are approximately 80 nucleotides in length. Their secondary structure includes four short double-helical elements and three loops (D, anti-codon, and T loops). Lineage: Eukaryota; Metazoa; Chordata; Mammalia; Rodentia; Sciuridae. The record is from RNAcentral.